GAAUUCGAUUAACGCGAAGAACCUUACCAAGGCUUGACAUGCAGGGAAAUCUCCCAGAGAUGGGAGGUCCGCAAGGGUCCUGCACAGGUGGUGCAUGGUUGUCGUCAGCUCGUGUCGUGAGAUGUUGGGUUAAGUCCCGCAACGAGCGCAACCCUCGUUCUAUGUUGCCAGCGCGUGAUGGCGGGGACUCAUAGGAGACUGCCGGGGUCAACUCGGAGGAAGGUGGGGACGACGUCAAAUCAUCAUGCCCCUUAUGUCUUGGGCUGCACACAUGCUACAAUGGCCGGUACAAAGGGCUGCUAAGCCGCGAGGUGGAGCGAAUCCCAAAAAGCCGGUCUCAGUUCGGAUUGGGGUCUGCAACUCGACCCCAUGAAGUCGGAGUUGCUAGUAAUCGCAGAUCAGCAACGCUGCGGUGAAUACGUUCCCGGGCCUUGUCACACCGAAUCACUA
RNAcentral lists this ribosomal RNA (450 nucleotides) under uncultured soil bacterium. RNAcentral's name for it is "bacterial SSU rRNA". It matches the Rfam family "Bacterial small subunit ribosomal RNA", at positions 947 to 1384 of the family's 1533-position model. The record is from RNAcentral.